Molecule: ribosomal RNA, 466 nt
Filed under: uncultured bacterium
Lineage: Bacteria
Description: partial 16S ribosomal RNA
Rfam family: Bacterial small subunit ribosomal RNA
Source: RNAcentral
GACGAACGCUGGCGGCGCGCCUAACACAUGCAAGUCGAACGAGCGAGCGAGAGCUUGCUUUCUCGAGCGAGUGGCGAACGGGUGAGUAACGCGUGAGGAACCUGCCUCAAAGAGGGGGACAACAGUUGGAAACGACUGCUAAUACCGCAUAAGCCCACGACCCGGCAUCGGGUAGAGGGAAAAGGAGCAAUCCGCUUUGAGAUGGCCUCGCGUCCGAUUAGCUAGUUGGUGAGGUAACGGCCCACCAAGGCGACGAUCGGUAGCCGGACUGAGAGGUUGAACGGCCACAUUGGGACUGAGACACGGCCCAGACUCCUACGGGAGGCAGCAGUGGGGAAUAUUGCACAAUGGGGGAAACCCUGAUGCAGCGACGCCGCGUGGAGGAGGAAGGUCUUCGGAUUGUAAACUCCUGUUGUUGAGGAAGAUAAUGACGGUACUCAACAAGGAAGUGACGGCUAACUACGUG